GGACUUCUCCCAUCAAUACAUGGACGCCUCUGUUGGCCGAUGAAGCAACCGUCGCAAGUUAAGUGCAGGCACUGGCGCAGUAAUCUAGUUCUAAAGUUUUCAACAGCAAACAGUUUUCACGAUUAAUUUAGGAAAUAUUUGAAAAGAAAUGCCUGAUGUUUAGUGAUUAACGAGAGGAUGUGCUGCACAAUCAAAAUUUUUUAUAUGUAACACUUUAUUCAAUCAUUUUAAAAUAUGAAUUCGGAAAAGAUUAAUGAUGGCUCAACAUCACCGACUGGCGCUGCGGAUCGGAAACUGUAAUGAAUUGAUUUGUUUGAUUACGUCGACCAAUCCCGUUAUGCCUGAGCAUCGUUACAAUCUACCAAUCCGGUUGUGACGAAUAAACUGGAUUGCAAUAAUGUUCUGACGUGCGAUAAUCUGGAAAAAUGGCCAACAGGGAAAGGCUUUUAAAUAUUUGCCCAAGAUGUUGCACAGUCAUCAUGAUAGGACUGUUUUCUCUUUUCUACUCAGGAGACGUACUCUAAUCGUAAAAUACCAAAGUUGCAAUAAAUUAAAUUAUUGUCAAAACU
Molecule: long non-coding RNA, 569 nt
Organism: Daphnia magna
Lineage: Eukaryota; Metazoa; Arthropoda; Branchiopoda; Diplostraca; Daphniidae
Exons: 2
Source: RefSeq, a predicted model, not a curated record